RNAcentral lists this ribosomal RNA (250 nucleotides) under uncultured bacterium. Its description in RNAcentral is "partial 16S ribosomal RNA". It matches the Rfam family "Bacterial small subunit ribosomal RNA", at positions 524 to 773 of the family's 1533-position model. The record is from RNAcentral.
UACGUAGGGUGCGAGCGUUAAUCGGAAUUACUGGGCGUAAAGCGUGCGCAGGCGGUUUUGUAAGCCAGGUGUGAAAUCCCCGGGCUCAACCUGGGAAUGGCAUUUGGGACUGCAAGGCUGGAGUGCGGCAGAGGAGACUGGAAUUCCUGGUGUAGCAGUGAAAUGCGUAGAUAUCAGGAGGAACACCGAUGGCGAAGGCAGGUCUCUGGGCUGACACUGACGCUCAUGCACGAAAGCGUGGGGAGCGAAA